GACAGAGGGUGCAAACGUUGUUCGGAAUUACUGGGCGUAAAGCGCGUGUAGGCUGCUUCGAAAGUCGGAUGUGAAAGCCCUGGGCUCAACCUAGGAAGUGCACUCGAAACUUCGAAGCUGGAGUCCUGGAGAGGAAGGCGGAAUUCUCGGUGUAGAGGUGAAAUUCGUAGAUAUCGAGAGGAACACCGGUGGCGAAGGCGGCCUUCUGGACAGUGACUGACGCUGAGACGCGAAAGCGUGGGGAGCAAACAGG
RNAcentral lists this ribosomal RNA (253 nucleotides) under uncultured bacterium. RNAcentral describes it as "partial 16S ribosomal RNA". It matches the Rfam family "Bacterial small subunit ribosomal RNA", at positions 524 to 776 of the family's 1533-position model. The record is from RNAcentral.